Molecule: ribosomal RNA, 380 nt
Filed under: uncultured eukaryote
Lineage: Eukaryota
Description: partial 18S ribosomal RNA
Rfam family: Eukaryotic small subunit ribosomal RNA
Source: RNAcentral
CAAUAGCGUAUAUUAAAGUUGUUGCAGUUAAAAAGCUCGUAGUUGGAUUUGUGGCUGUCACGGGCGGCCUAUCACUUAGUGUUAGUGCUUGCCUGUGUCGCCAUCCUUGGGUGGAGCCCGUGUGGCAUUAGGUUGUCGUGCGGGGGAUGCCCAUCGUUUACUGUGAGAAAAUUAGAGUGUUCAAAGCAGGCUUAUGCCGUUGAAUAUGUUAGCAUGGAAUAAUAAGAUAGGACCUCGGUACUAUUUUGUUGGUUUGCGCACCGGGGUAAUGAUUAAUAGGGACAGUUGGGGGUAUUCGUAUUUCAUUGUCAGAGGUGAAAUUCUUGGAUUUCUGAAAGACGAACUACUGCGAAAGCAUUUACCAAGGAUGUUUUCAUUAA